Molecule: ribosomal RNA, 667 nt
Filed under: uncultured bacterium
Lineage: Bacteria
Description: bacterial SSU rRNA
Rfam family: Bacterial small subunit ribosomal RNA
Source: RNAcentral
UCGUACGCACUGGCCCAACUGAUUGAUGGUGCUUGCACCUAAUUGACGUUGGAUCACCAGUGAGUGGCGGACGGGUGAGUAACACGUAGGUAACCUGCCCCGGAGCGGGGGAUAACAUUUGGAAACAGAUGCUAAUACCGCAUAACAACAAAAGCCACAUGGCUUUUGUCUGAAAGAUGGCUUUGGCUAUCACUCUGGGAUGGACCUGCGGUGCAUUAGCUAGUUGGUAAGGUAACGGCUUACCAAGGCGAUGAUGCAUAGCCGAGUUGAGAGACUGAUCGGCCACAAUGGAACUGAGACACGGUCCAUACUCCUACGGGAGGCAGCAGUAGGGAAUCUUCCACAAUGGGCGCAAGCCUGAUGGAGCAACACCGCGUGAGUGAAGAAGGGUUUCGGCUCGUAAAGCUCUGUUGUUGGAGAAGAACGUGCGUGAGAGUAACUGUUCACGCAGUGACGGUAUCCAACCAGAAAGUCACGGCUAACUACGUGCCAGCAGCCGCGGUAAUACGUAGGUGGCAAGCGUUAUCCGGAUUUAUUGGGCGUAAAGCGAGCGCAGGCGGUUGCUUAGGUCUGAUGUGAAAGCCUUCGGCUUAACCGAAGAAGUGCAUCGGAAACCGGGCGACUUGAGUGCAGAAGAGGACAGUGGAACUCCAUGUGUAGCGGUGGA